Molecule: ribosomal RNA, 301 nt
Filed under: uncultured bacterium
Lineage: Bacteria
Description: partial 16S ribosomal RNA
Rfam family: Bacterial small subunit ribosomal RNA
Source: RNAcentral
CAGUCGCCGCGGUAAUACGUAGGGUGCAAGCGUUAAUCGGAAUUACUGGGCGUAAAGCGUGCGCAGGCGGUUAUAUAAGACAGAUGUGAAAUCCCCGGGCUCAACCUGGGAACUGCAUUUGUGACUGUAUAGCUAGAGUACGGCAGAAGGGGAUGGAAUUCCGCGUGUAGCAGUGAAAUGCGUAGAUAUGCGGAGGAACACCGAUGGCGAAGGCAAUCCCCUGGGCCUGUACUGACGCUCAUGCACGAAAGCGUGGGGAGCAAACAGGAUUAGAUACCCCUGUAGUCCCUGUCUCUUAUAC